GGUCCGCUAUCUCAAAUGGUCAGAGCGCCCGGCUCAUAACCGGGGACAUCCUGGUUCGACUCCAGGGCGGACCACCA
Molecule: transfer RNA, 77 nt
Filed under: Evtepia gabavorous
Lineage: Bacteria; Bacillati; Bacillota; Clostridia; Eubacteriales
Also listed under: 1 other name
Description: tRNA-Ile
Rfam family: tRNA
About the family: Transfer RNA (tRNA) molecules are approximately 80 nucleotides in length.
Source: RNAcentral